This 497-nucleotide ribosomal RNA is filed under the name uncultured bacterium. RNAcentral describes it as "partial 16S ribosomal RNA". It matches the Rfam family "Bacterial small subunit ribosomal RNA", at positions 28 to 507 of the family's 1533-position model. The record is from RNAcentral.
GACGAACGCUGGCGGCGUGCCUAAUACAUGCAAGUUGAGCGAUGAAGCUUGGUGCUUGCACCAAUUUGAAGAGCAGCGAACGGGUGGGUAACGCGUGGGGAAUCUGCCUUUGAGCGGGGGACAACAUUUGGAAACGAAUGCUAAUACCGCAUAAUAACUUUAAACAUAAGUUUUAAGUUUGAAAGAUGCAAUUGCAUCACUCAAAGAUGAUCCCGCGUUGUAUUAGCUAGUUGGUGAGGUAAAGGCUCACCAAGGCGAUGAUACAUAGCCGACCUGAGAGGGUGAUCGGCCACAUUGGGACUGAGACACGGCCCAAACUCCUACGGGAGGCAGCAGUAGGGAAUCUUCGGCAAUGGACGAAAGUCUGACCGAGCAACGCCGCGUGAGUGAAGAAGGUUUUCGGAUCGUAAAACUCUGUUGGUAGAGAAGAACGUUGGUGAGAGUGGAAAGCUCAUCAAGUGACGGUAACUACCCAGAAAGGGACGGCUAACUACGUG